This 211-nucleotide long non-coding RNA is filed under the name Phoenix dactylifera (date palm). RNAcentral describes it as "long non-coding RNA (PDAC_LNC013511)". The record is from RNAcentral. Lineage: Eukaryota; Viridiplantae; Streptophyta; Magnoliopsida; Arecales; Arecaceae.
UCAGGUUGGACUCAAAGCAUCUUCACCCAAUUGUAUGAAAGUGACCCAAUUAGGUGCAGCCUCUAUCUCACGUUGGUCUUCUUUUCCUUUGAUUUUUAUGAUCAGGCUUUCUAAAGCUUGUUUCAUCCUCUUAGUCUUGGCCCUAGUCAUAGGACCUUCAAUUCCAUGCAAAGUAUCUUUAGAUGGGCUGGUUGCGUCUCUAUCAUUGGUU